Small nuclear RNA from Suncus etruscus (white-toothed pygmy shrew), 166 nucleotides. RefSeq annotates it as U1 spliceosomal RNA. NCBI's taxonomy places the organism in Eukaryota, Metazoa, Chordata, Mammalia, Eulipotyphla, Soricidae. The record is from RefSeq and is a predicted model, not a curated record. The transcript has a single exon.
AAAAUUUACUGGCAGGGGAGAUACUAUGACCACAAAGUGGUUUUCCCAGGGCAAGGGUCAUCCAUUGCACCCCAGAUGUGCUGACCCCUGCGAUUUGAUUUCCCCAAUUGUAGGACACUCUACUGUAUAAUUUGUGGUAGUGGGAGAUUGUAUUCACACUCUCCCC